Molecule: ribosomal RNA, 540 nt
Filed under: Famelica turritelloides
Lineage: Eukaryota; Metazoa; Mollusca; Gastropoda; Neogastropoda; Raphitomidae
Description: partial small subunit ribosomal RNA
Source: RNAcentral
GUUAAACCAGUAAACUAAAUUAUACAAAUUUGGUAAAAUACAGUUAGGUGAUUUAAUAGUUUAUGAUUUUUUAUAUAGAAGUAAAAUUCAUAUAGAUGUAAUAUACCUAAGAAACUAUAUUACUGAACCUGUGACACCUUUAAGGGAAACUGGGAUUGGAUACCCCAUUAUUUUUAGAUGUAAAUAAUUUCUUACCAGAGUACUACGAAUUUUGAUGAUUUAAAACUCAAAGGGCUUGGCGGUAUUUUAGACCUUUUAGGGGAACCUGUCCCGUAAUCGACAAUCCACGCUAGAUCUUACCUUUUUUAGUACUCAGCUUGUAUACCGUUGUCGUCAGGUAACUUUUAAGAAUAAAGUAGUUAGCUAUGAAAUUAAAUUAAUUUAGAUGUCAAAUCAAGGUGCAGCCGAUAAAAAGGAGAGGAUGGGUUACAAUUUUAUAAUUAUUAUACAGAUGGCUAAUUGAAAAUAACCUAAAGGAGGACUUAAAAGUAAAAAUCUAUAUAAAAAUAUAUUGAACACGGCUCUAAGAUGUGCACACAU